ACCAAGAAAAUGUGUAAAUUAUGAAUAACUGUUCCAAAGUGCAUAAUCCUGUUUUAACAGGUCAAUAAAUGUCAAUAAAUAAACAGACAAAUACUAAAACUACUUCAAGUAACUUGAUGGUUGCUUGAACAUCAUCUAUUUUAAGUAUUUUGAGCCCUGAUCUUACAUAGGAAUAAGAAUUAGACAAUAUGGUUACUCCUAUCUAAACUGCUAGAUUUAAACUUGAUUCUUUUAAAUUCAGAAGUUCCACGAUGUGCUGCGUUUGUUUUAUCUUCAACUAAAUAGAUAAGUAGGCAGCUUCUUCAUAAUAGUAGAUAACAAGCAGAUUAGCAGGCCUUAGAUAAUUGUUUUUCAUCUUUUUGGAGCAUCAUCUUCAUUGUUUACUGCAAAUCAUCUUCCUUGUUUUACUGCAAAGAGGAAUGUGAAAAUCAGUGACUUUCAUACUAAAACAUUUAAUAGAUUUUAAGUACAUUAUAACUUAACCAUAUAAUAAGCAUACCUUCACCAUUUCUGAGCCAUCCGUCUCAAAGAUAUUAUUAAACAAGACAAUCUUCACGUGAAUAAGAUUGUAUUGAGUUGGUUUUAUUGCAGGGUCCAAGGAACAUAUAAUAAUCUCUGAUCAAAAGAAGUAGAAUACCUUCUCUCUUUGCAGAAGCUGGAUUAAUUUUCCUAUUACCUUCUCGGUUACCUUUUGUACAAGUGAUAUUGCAAGUGUUUCAGAUUAAAAGCCAAGAGAAAACGCCUUUAAAGUUAAAUUCUAAAUUUUUUAAUAUUUAAUCAAUGAUAGACAACAGAAACCAAUAUGAUGAUAAGUUUAUAUCAACAAUCUUAUCAUGUCACUUUUGAAAUAAAAUGAUAUCUAUGUAUGGGAAAGAGAAGCAAGAACUAAAGGCCAAACUAAUAUAUUUUUGUCAAUGCAUAGUAGUAUAUAAGAGACAUCAUUUAUAUGUUACUGAAUUAAAU
This 963-nucleotide long non-coding RNA is filed under the name Daucus carota (carrot). RNAcentral describes it as "long non-coding RNA (DCAR_LNC000047)". The record is from RNAcentral. Lineage: Eukaryota; Viridiplantae; Streptophyta; Magnoliopsida; Apiales; Apiaceae.